This 76-nucleotide transfer RNA is filed under the name Streptomonospora alba. RNAcentral's name for it is "tRNA-Val". It matches the Rfam family "tRNA". Rfam says of the family: Transfer RNA (tRNA) molecules are approximately 80 nucleotides in length. Their secondary structure includes four short double-helical elements and three loops (D, anti-codon, and T loops). The record is from RNAcentral. Lineage: Bacteria; Bacillati; Actinomycetota; Actinomycetes; Streptosporangiales; Nocardiopsidaceae.
GGGCGUGUAGCUCAGUUGGUAGAGCCCCCGCCUUACAAGCGGGUGGUCGGAGGUUCGAGUCCUCUCGCGCCCACCC